RNAcentral lists this ribosomal RNA (813 nucleotides) under uncultured bacterium. Its description in RNAcentral is "bacterial SSU rRNA". It matches the Rfam family "Bacterial small subunit ribosomal RNA", at positions 61 to 884 of the family's 1533-position model. The record is from RNAcentral.
GUCGAACGGACUCAUAUUGAAACCUAGUGAUUUAUGAGUUAGUGGCGGCCGGGUGAGUAACGCGUGGAUAACCUGCCGUAUACCGGGGGAUAACACUUAGAAAUAGGUGCUAAUACCGCAUAAGCGCACGGCUCCGCAUGGGGCAGUGUGAAAAACUCCGGUGGUAUACGAUGGAUCCGCGUCUGAUUAGCUAGUUGGCGGGGUAACGGCCCACCAAGGCAGCGAUCAGUAGCCGGCCUGAGAGGGUGGACGGCCACAUUGGGACUGAGACACGGCCCAAACUCCUACGGGAGGCAGCAGUGGGGAAUAUUGCACAAUGGGGGAAACCCUGAUGCAGCGACGCCGCGUGAGUGAAGAAGUAUCUCGGUACGUAAAGCUCUAUCAGCAGGGAAGAAAAUGACGGUACCUGACUAAGAAGCCCCGGCUAACUACGUGCCAGCAGCCGCGGUAAUACGUAGGGGGCAAGCGUUAUCCGGAUUUACUGGGUGUAAAGGGAGCGUAGACGGCAGCACAAGUCUGGAGUGAAAUCCCGGGGCUUAACCCCGGAACUGCUUUGGAAACUGUGCGGCUGGAGUGCAGGAGGGGUAAGCGGAAUUCCUAGUGUAGCGGUGAAAUGCGUAGAUAUUAGGAGGAACACCGGUGGCGAAGGCGGCUUACUGGACUGUAACUGACGUUGAGGCUCGAAAGCGCGGGGAGCAAACAGGAUUAGAUACCCUGGUAGUCCACGCCGUAAACGAUGAUUACUAGGUGUCGGGGGAUCAAGGUCCUCCGGUGCCGGCGCAAACGCAUUAAGUAAUCCACCUGGGGAGUACG